AGGAUCAUUGAAUUAUUAAACCACAACGUCAACCCGUUACCAUGCGCUUGACGUGCUAGUGGGGGCAUUCGGCUGAAUGCGUCUCACAGCUGGUUGGGAAUUGCUACCCACACCAGUGGCCGUCUCGGCAUGAGUGUUCCAUGCGUUUGGGUUGCCAGUGGCGGCCCCCGCAUGACUGUUCCGUGCGCUUGGCGUGUCGGUGGGGCAUUCGGGUUAUAAGCCCGUCUGCAUCUCACAGCUGGUUGGGAAAUGCUACCCAACCAGUGGCCGCCUUGGCAUGACCAUACACCAAGGGCCAACCGCUGAUUAAACCAAACUCUGAAGCUGUGACUGCUAUUUGAUUGGCAGUCUUAACCAAAGACAACUCUCAACAACGGAUAUCUUGGCUCUCGCAACGAUGAAGAACGCAGCGAAAUGCGAUACGUAGUGUGAAUUGCAGAAUUCCGUGAACCAUCGAAUCUUUGAACGCAUAUUGCGCUCGAGCCUUCGGGCGAGAGCAUGUCUGCCUCAGCGUCGGUUUACACCAUCACCCCCCAAAUUUCUUUUUGGGUGUGUCGGCAUUUAUUGCUGGCUGUAGGGGUGGAUCUGACUUCCCCAACCUGCAAUGCGUUUGGUUGGGCUAGUUGAAGUGCAGAGGCUUAAGCAAGGACCCAUUAAGGGCUUCAACUGGAUAGGUAGCACCGGCUUGUGCCGACUACACGAAGUUGUUGCUUGUGGAUCUUGCUGGUGCCAAGCAGGAACGUGCCAAAUGGCAUGUCUAAACUUUCGACCUGAGCUCAGGCAAGGCUACCCGCUGAACUUAAGCAUAUCAAUAAGCGGAGGA
This 823-nucleotide ribosomal RNA is filed under the name Coelastrella saipanensis. RNAcentral's name for it is "eukaryotic LSU rRNA". The stretch from base 363 to 516 matches the Rfam family "5.8S ribosomal RNA". The record is from RNAcentral. Lineage: Eukaryota; Viridiplantae; Chlorophyta; Chlorophyceae; Sphaeropleales; Scenedesmaceae.